GUAAAUUUUUUUUUUUGAAAUCUGAUUAUAAUUUUUAGAAUCAGCUUUUUAAUUUUAGAGACUCAAAAUCAGAAAUAGCUAAAAUCUGCUUUUUGAAAUCUAAUUUUGAUUCCAUACUCAAAUUUUAAAUUUAAAUUUUAAAUUUUAAAUUUUAAAUUUAAAUUUUAAAUUUUAAAUUUUUUAUUUUCAUUUCAAAUUUUAAAAUUUAAUUUUCACAUUCUAAGUUUCAAAUUUAGAUUUUUAAUUUAAAAUUUUAUUAUAAUUUUAAAUAUAUAUUUUAAAAUUAAAAUUUUAUAUUUUUAAAAUUUAAAUUCUAAAUUUUAAUAAAAAAUAACUCUGUAAAAAUU
Molecule: long non-coding RNA, 347 nt
Filed under: Ananas comosus (pineapple)
Lineage: Eukaryota; Viridiplantae; Streptophyta; Magnoliopsida; Poales; Bromeliaceae
Description: long non-coding RNA (ACOM_LNC020947)
Source: RNAcentral